GAGAAAAUUCUCUCUUUCUCGGCCACACUUCUGUAGUAGGAAAUUCUUCGUCGCGUUACUUCGCUUCUUUCUUCUACCCACAAAUCUUAAAAAAUACAUGUUCUACGAACAUCCUGUUCGCGCGAUCUACAUCGAGCUCGGAAAAAGGAUUUUUCCCCCUAAUUAACGAAAUAAUUUUUCUGAGGUUUUUCUUCGUUUCCUUAUUUCGAGGAUUUUUUCAACUGAAUUUCCGGGGGUGGAACGAGUGCGCGGUCGAAAAUUCAUUGAGCUUCGGUCCGAAUCGAUGACGAUGGAGGCGAGCGGAACGUCAUCGAUGUCGUUUUCGUGGUCGCGCGUCCUCGCGCAGUUGGUAAGAGAGGGAAAGAGAGAGGCGUGAAAAUGGAGAGCGCGAAAUGUUUCUCAUGGCGCCAUUUUACCCUCGACUCGAGGGAGUUUAAAUAUAAAUCGGAGUGCGGUCUCGAGGAGACUCUAGUCGUGGCGUCGCUCCGUCAAAGAGCGCUUCAGCGAGACCAGCUCGAUUUCAUUACUCGCCUUUAUUCGAUUCGGCUCUUUGACUCGCCGCAUUAUUUUUAUUGCGAUUCAAUUGAUUUGCCAAUAAAAAGCGAGUCUAUUCGCGCUCGCGCGCGCGCGCGCCCUCGUGUCGAGCGGAGUCUAAUUGAAGCAGACUCGUAUAUACGAUCAUCGACGAAGAAUCGAGUCAAUCGCGUCGCGGAGAGAGGGCGAGAUUGAAAGAGACUCGGAUCGUUGACCCUGCUCGAUCUUUCCGGUAUCGAAAAAGCGAGGAUCGCCAUGCCCGAUUCGAUUCUCCAAUAAAAUAUUCGGACCGUCGGAACUUUUGUGGGCUCGAUCCGCUCGCUCUCCCGAUUCAACGAUCCUCGUUCACUCGCCGAGGAAACAGAGCCAAAAAACUCGUGAAUCAUCCAUGAAACUGGAGGAAUUCCGCGGGUAGAAAACCCUUUCGAAUAAUGUCCGCACCGAACAGGCAAGAAAUUCGGAUAACCGUUUUCUUCAAUGACGGAGUCGUCGUCAUUCACAUCUGACUUGGCUGGAAUUUUCUCCGCGAUCCGUUCACCUCCGUCGUCGUCGAGGAUCCAACGGCUCCUGCACGAACUGCAGACUCAAGUGCGCAAAUAAAUAUACACAAGUGUUUUCACAAUGACCUGUUUCACGCCGCCACACCGAAAAAACAUGCCCGUCAUCGUCCCAACGAGUACGCGCUACUCUCGAAACUUUCACGCCCCCGUCUUCAAGCGUAUCACCGUCGUCAAUACAGCCUCCGUUCAUUUUCUCCCGAGCCCCCUCAAAAUCGACCUCGCCCAUGCUGUAAAGAUCUAUGAAAUCGAUAAAUAAAUCUCGAAGCUGUCGAACCCUACGAAAA
Long non-coding RNA from Venturia canescens, 1378 nucleotides. RefSeq lists it as uncharacterized. Lineage: Eukaryota; Metazoa; Arthropoda; Insecta; Hymenoptera; Ichneumonidae. The transcript has 2 exons. The record is from RefSeq and is a predicted model, not a curated record.